GGCCUAGUCAGUGAGGUGUGGAUGUGG
This 27-nucleotide non-coding RNA is filed under the name Homo sapiens (human). Lineage: Eukaryota; Metazoa; Chordata; Mammalia; Primates; Hominidae. The record is from RNAcentral.